CAGACACAGUGGAAGCCAGGGGCACCAGGGCAGCCCCACCCUACAGCGCUGAGCCCAGGCCAGAUGACGCCGCAGGCACUUUCCACAGAUCUCAAAAUCUGAGAAGACCCUGCCCAGUAAAUACCAAAGUUCCCCUGUGUUAAAGUUGAGCAAGAUACAACUUGCCAACUGCUACAGCCAGCCUGGGGGCCACUUUGGUAAGAGAUAGAAAGCUGAGGAUAACGUAAACCUGAGGAUGAAGCAAGCACUUCUCUGUCCCUGACACAUGACACAGCUCGAGCAUCUCAUUUUGUCAUUCCUACCCCCCAGAAAGAAGUCUUUGGCGUGACGACCAAAAAGCUCACGCACCGAAAAGACACAAGUUUCACAAAGUAAUACUUCUUUUCCUGUACACCCUGGACUAUCUGGAUAUGCAGAUGCAGAGGCUGUGAAUGGCCGUACUGUGGGUAUUUUCAAUUCUGUGCUAAUCUACCCAAUUUCUCUAUUCAUCCUUUCAGGCCACAUUCAUUAAUGAGUUACAGCCCUCAUCUUAAAACUCACUACCCACUGGAGGGUCUAAUACAAAUAAGUAAGAUUCCUGUAUGAAAAAUGGGCACUGACAUCUACAAGAGCAAAAAUUUUACAUAGCACUUAUCCAAAAUGGACAAAUGAGUGAAGUGAUAGGAAACUUGCUCUAUGGAAUAUUGCACAUGGAGGGAUGGAAGAAUUAGAGCCGCAUGUAUCAACAGGGAUUAAUUUGGGAAAUGUUGCACUGAGCAAAAGAGAAAACUUGCAAAAUGAUUCUUCCAGCACAAUCUAUUUAUAUAAAGUUUGAAAACAUGCCAAAUGCACUGUCUGUGGAAAGGUACUUAUGUGGUAAAAUUACAUAAAUAUUCAUCAAGCAAUAAACAUAUAAUUCAGGAUCGCGGUUAGCUCUAAGGAGGAAGGAAGAAGAAUGUGGAGGAAGAGCUCUGGUUUUGCUUUUACUUUUUAGCUCUGUAGCAAAUCAGGAAAGAUAGUAAACAGUGCUAAAGCUGCGUGUGGAUGGAUGCACAUUACAAUAGUCUCUGUAUUUUUAAACGUGCAUGAAAUAAAUAGCUCAUGAGUUUUAAGAAGAAAAGCAAAGAAAACCAUCAGGUCCGUUUAGAAAAAAGAAAUCCAGCAGAAUGUGGAACUGUUCCAAGCUCCACCAAAAAAAAAAGUGGUGAGGGUCCUUCCUUGUGAAGUAACUGCCCGCGGGGAAACGUGAGCUCUAGGAAUAGCUUGAAUUCUUAAGAAUAUGUUUCAUUCCUGGAGAGUCCUAGGAAAAGCUGUCAAGAGGAGUUGAUUCUCAUGAAGCGGUUUACGUGGAACAACCAUCGGGAAGGUUAAUCAGUAGCCCUACGUGGGCCCAAAACAUCUUGGAGGAGAAAAGACUUUCGGGUAACUUUCAAGAAGAAAGGAGGUCCUCCUCUUUGGUGCUGUUCGUAUUGUGGUUAAACUGCACAUAACGUCACAUUCACCACUUCACCCACUGUCAAGCACAUACUCCACUGCAAUAAGGGAAUUCUAUGACGUGCAACCAUCACCACUCUCUGUCCUGAAUGCUUUCGUCAACCCCAAAGGGAAUGGGUGUCCAUCAGCAGCACACCCCAACCCCCGUUCCUCUGGCAAUAGCUGACCUGCUUUCUGUCUCCAUGGAUAUUCCUUAUAAAUGCAAUCGCGUGCUCUAGA
Chinchilla lanigera (long-tailed chinchilla) is the source of this 1692-nucleotide long non-coding RNA. RefSeq lists it as uncharacterized. Lineage: Eukaryota; Metazoa; Chordata; Mammalia; Rodentia; Chinchillidae. The transcript has 2 exons. The record is from RefSeq and is a predicted model, not a curated record.